UACGUAGGCAGCGAGCGUUGUUCGGAAUUACUGGGCGUAAAGAGUGUGUAGGCGGUGCUCUAAGUUCGGUGUGAAAUCUCCUGCUUAACUGGGAGGGUGCGCCGGAAACUGGAGUGCUUGAGCGUGGGAGAGGAAAGCGGAAUUCCUGGUGUAGCGGUGAAAUGCGUAGAGUAUCAGGAGGAACACCUGUGGUGUAGACGGCUUUCUGGACCAUUGCUGACGCUGAGACACGAAAGCGUGGGUAGCAAACAGG
This 253-nucleotide ribosomal RNA is filed under the name uncultured bacterium. RNAcentral's name for it is "partial 16S ribosomal RNA". It matches the Rfam family "Bacterial small subunit ribosomal RNA", at positions 524 to 776 of the family's 1533-position model. The record is from RNAcentral.